Molecule: long non-coding RNA, 1559 nt
Organism: Felis catus (domestic cat)
Lineage: Eukaryota; Metazoa; Chordata; Mammalia; Carnivora; Felidae
Exons: 3
Source: RefSeq, a predicted model, not a curated record
CACAAGCAUCAGGGCAAAUAACAUGGUCAUGUUGAAAUACAUGUGCCAUACAAAAUACAGCAAUCAAACCAUGAAAUAGACGCUUGGCCCAAAGGAUAUUUAUAUAUGUUAUUAGAGACCAACACCUACAGAAGAACAGAAGGAAGUGUAUUUGUCUGAGGGAGAGGUCAACUGUGACACAGACCCAACCAAGUCUCAGCCCGUCACAGUUGUCCCAGUUGGACAGAGGUCCCUGACCUUUAUAACACAAUUUCAGUCAGUAGAUGUGCUAGGAAGGGCAUUGCCUCAGUCAGGUGAUUUUCUCCACUGGAGGAAAACCCUGAAAUACUCCUUGCAGCUGCUGGAGCAAGUAAGUCUACUGCUGGGGGGUCUGGGCAGUGUUGUCCUUGCCCACCAUGCCAGAAAUCCCAAAUAACAAGAUAAAUUUUCCCUGGGAAUCUUGUUGGAGGCUUGUCCACAAAUGGCUAAAGUAUCUUCUGAUAAAAAGGAAACAGCAGGUCCCCAGUAGAGUCAACUUAUGCUAAACCCCUUAUCAGCCAACCAAGGCUUAAUACCUAAUUAUAGUCAUCCCCAUCCCCAGGAAUGUAACUUUUACCAAAUCAACCUGGAAAUACCUAAACAGCACUACCGAGGUAAUCCACCUGCUGGAGCUCAUUUCUGUUACUAGAUGGGAUGCUACCCAAUGCAUGAUUCACUGCACAAAGCCAGAUUAAUCUGUAGGUGUACUCAGUUGAAUUUGUCAUCUAACACCUCCCAAAAUUAAAAUUAGUAUCUCCUGUCCUUCAAAAGGUGAGCAUAUAAACUGUGGUAUAUUCACACAGUGAAUACUAUCAGUGAUUUAAAAAUGAGCUAUAAGCCACAAAAAGACAUAGAGGAAUCUUAAAUGCAUAUUACAUAGUGAAGGAGACCAGUCUGAAAAGGCUGCAUACUAUAUGAUUCAAAUCAUAUAACAUCCUGAAAAAGAAAAAAGCUAGGGAAACAUAAAAACACAUCCAUUGCUGCCAAAAGCUGGCAUGGAGAAGGGGAGGAGAAGAUGAACAAGUGGAAGAGGAGAGUUGAGGCAACUAUUCUAUAGGCUGCAGCUGAGAAGUACCAGAAUAAUGUCCACGACAUGCUUUGGCAUAUGGAUUGUUUUGAGCUAAAGGUCACAGAGAACCAGUAGAUGCCUGAAAAGCUCUAGAAACCAGCCAUUCCUCAGGACCUGUGAACCAUUCUCUCCAGAAAAGCAUCACCGAGAAUAAACCACAAGGGAUCUAAUACCUAGAAGGUACAGGAUGGCUAGAAGAAAAGCAUACUAUAGACUCCAAGAUGACUCAAGAAAGUUAUUACAGGACAACUUAAGGCUAAAAGAAGGUGAAGGACCUAAAGCUGGAGAAUUUAAGGUCAACAAGGGAUGGUGUGAUAAGUUUAGGAAGAGGUUUAGCUUAAGAAAUGUCAAUGUAACAGGAGAAGCAGCUUCUGCUCACGAAGAGGUAGUUCCCAGAAGCCAUCAAGAAAGUCAAAGAAGGGAUAUCUGCCUGAAUUGGUAUUUAAAUACAGACAAAAGUGCCCUAUUCUGG